This is an unclassified non-coding RNA of Pongo abelii (Sumatran orangutan), 148 nucleotides long. It matches the Rfam family "Metazoan signal recognition particle RNA". From Rfam's summary of the family: The signal recognition particle (SRP) is a universally conserved ribonucleoprotein. It is involved in the co-translational targeting of proteins to membranes. NCBI's taxonomy places the organism in Eukaryota, Metazoa, Chordata, Mammalia, Primates, Hominidae. The record is from Ensembl.
GCUGGGUGUGUUGGUGCACACCUGUAAUCCUAGCUACUCAGGAGGCUGAGGCAGGAGAAUUGCUUGAACCCGGGAGGCGGAGGUUGCAGUGAGCCAAGAUCGCGCCACUGCACUCCAGCCUGGGUGACAGAGUGAGACUCCGCCUCAA